This 327-nucleotide ribosomal RNA is filed under the name Triticum aestivum (bread wheat). RNAcentral describes it as "partial small subunit ribosomal RNA". Lineage: Eukaryota; Viridiplantae; Streptophyta; Magnoliopsida; Poales; Poaceae. The record is from RNAcentral.
AUGAGUGUAAUAAGCUGGAACUGUCGAGGGCUUGGGAACCCUCAAACAGUUCGUGAGCUUCGCAAGAUUGUGAAGCAAGAAGGACCCGCCCUUCUGUUCUUAAUGGAAACCAAGAUAAAGGGCAAAAGAGUGGAAGAUUUAAAGUUUUCUUUAGGUUUUUCCGGUUGUUUUGCUGCUGAUAGCAACGGUCUUAGUGGUGGUGUUGGCCUUUUCUGCUCCAAAGAUGUUGAUGUCAAGCUUGAAAAUUACAGCCCGUCACACAUUGAUGUUUAUGUGAAACAUGGCAAUAAAGCUUGGCGUUUUACUGGUUUCUACGGAGAGCCAUGA